This 89-nucleotide unclassified non-coding RNA is filed under the name Pseudomonas sp. bs2935. Lineage: Bacteria; Pseudomonadati; Pseudomonadota; Gammaproteobacteria; Pseudomonadales; Pseudomonadaceae. The record is from RNAcentral.
UGUGGGAGCGGGCUUGCCCGCGAUAGCGGCUAAUCAGUCGACAUCUAUGUCGCUGACCCACCGCAAUCGCGGGCAAGCCCGCUCCCACA